GUGUCAGCCGCCGCGGUAAUACGGAGGGGGCGAGUGUUGUUCGGAAUUACUGGGCGUAAAGGGCGCGCAGGCGGCCUGGCAAGUCGAGUGUGAAAUCCCUUGGCUUAACUGAGGAAUGGCGCUCGAAACUACCUCGCUGGAGGGCGGGAGAGGGAAGUGGAACUCUCGGUGUAGGGGUGAAAUCUGUAGAUAUCGAGAGGAACACCGGUGGCGAAGGCGGCUUCCUGGCCCGUACCUGACGCUGAGGCGCGAAAGCGUGGGGAGCAAACAGGAUUAGAAACCCUAGUAGUCC
Molecule: ribosomal RNA, 292 nt
Filed under: uncultured bacterium
Lineage: Bacteria
Description: partial 16S ribosomal RNA
Rfam family: Bacterial small subunit ribosomal RNA
Source: RNAcentral